GAUGAACGCUGGCGGCGUGCCUAAUACAUGCAAGUCGAGCGAACGGACGAGAAGCUUGCUUCUCUGAUGUUAGCGGCGGACGGGUGAGUAACACGUGGAUAACCUACCUUUAAGACUGGGAUAACUUCGGGAAACCGGAGCUAAUACCGGAUAAUAUUUUGAACCGCAUGGUUCAAAAGUGAAAGACGGUCUUGCUGUCACUUAUAGAUGGAUCCGCGCUGCAUUAGCUAGUUGGUAAGGUAACGGCUUACCAAGGCAACGAUGCAUAGCCGACCUGAGAGGGUGAUCGGCCACACUGGAACUGAGACACGGUCCAGACUCCUACGGGAGGCAGCAGUAGGGAAUCUUCCGCAAUGGGCGAAAGCCUGACGGAGCAACGCCGCGUGAGUGAUGAAGGUCUUCGGAUCGUAAAACUCUGUUAUUAGGGAGGAACAUAUGUGUAAGUAACUGUGCACAUCUUGACGGUACCUAAUCAGAAAGCCACGGCUAACUACGUG
RNAcentral lists this ribosomal RNA (497 nucleotides) under uncultured bacterium. RNAcentral's name for it is "partial 16S ribosomal RNA". It matches the Rfam family "Bacterial small subunit ribosomal RNA", at positions 28 to 507 of the family's 1533-position model. The record is from RNAcentral.